Molecule: unclassified non-coding RNA, 328 nt
Filed under: Basidiomycota sp.
Lineage: Eukaryota; Fungi; Basidiomycota
Description: partial contains small subunit ribosomal RNA, internal transcribed spacer 1, and 5.8S ribosomal RNA
Rfam family: Eukaryotic small subunit ribosomal RNA (bases 1-47)
Source: RNAcentral
AAAGUCGUAACAAGGUUUCCGUAGGUGAACCUGCGGAAGGAUCAUUAACACGAAUUAUUAUCCACUAUUCCAACCAAACGGAAACUUUUCCCCUCCCUAGUGCUUUGCUUUCUUGCAUUGCAUUGUACUAGGCUAAACUGUUAUCCUUAUAUUUACACCCCAUAUAAACAAACCAACUAUGGUCUUGUGUUUCCUCGUUGAAACCCAUUACCACUUCAAAACUGAAGAACAUGACUAGUAGUCCUAGUUGACUCACUCGGUCUGUUCUGUUCUAAUUUAGAACUAAAAAGAGAAAAUACAACUCUUAACAAUGGAUAUCUUGGUUCUC